UACAGAGGGGGCAAGCGUUGUUCGGAAUUACUGGGCGUAAAGAGCUCGUAGGUGGUUUGUCGCGUUGUUCGUGAAAACCUGAGGCUUAACCUUGGGCGUGCGGGCGAUACGGGCAGACUGGAGUACUGCAGGGGAGACUGGAAUUCCUGGUGUAGCGGUGGAAUGCGCAGAUAUCGGGAGGAACAUCAGUGGCGAAGGCGGCUACCUGGCCCAAUACUGACACUCAGGUGCGACAGCGUGGGGAGCAAACAGG
This 253-nucleotide ribosomal RNA is filed under the name uncultured bacterium. Its description in RNAcentral is "partial 16S ribosomal RNA". It matches the Rfam family "Bacterial small subunit ribosomal RNA", at positions 524 to 776 of the family's 1533-position model. The record is from RNAcentral.